This 202-nucleotide non-coding RNA is filed under the name Eggerthia catenaformis. RNAcentral's name for it is "T-box sequence". It matches the Rfam family "T-box leader". Rfam says of the family: Uncharged tRNA acts as the effector for transcription antitermination of genes in the T-box leader family. T-boxes are found upstream of many aminoacyl-tRNA synthetase genes and some amino acid biosynthetic genes usually in Gram-positive bacteria. The anticodon of a specific tRNA base pairs to a specifier sequence within the T-box motif, and the NCCA acceptor tail of the tRNA base pairs to a conserved bulge in the T-box antiterminator hairpin. Lineage: Bacteria; Bacillati; Bacillota; Erysipelotrichia; Erysipelotrichales; Coprobacillaceae. The record is from RNAcentral.
UUCAGUUCAAAGAACAGAAGAGUAUUCAUAUUUAACCUGUAGCGAGUCGGAAUAUGGUGAAAGUUCGAUGGCAAUGAAUAUGAAGAAACGCAUCUGGGAGAAAUGAAUCUGAAAUUAAGUAGGAUGAUCGUAUGUCUGCGUUAAAGACUAGAGGGGUCGUAAGACAACCAGUGUGGUACCGCGAUGUGAUGUCGUCUCUGGA